GUGAGGAAUAUUGGUCAAUGGACGAGAGUCUGAACCAGCCAAGUCGCGUGAAGGAAGACGGUUCUAUGAAUUGUAAACUUCUUUUGUGCAGGAAUAAAGUGGGUUACGUGUAACCUUUUGUAUGUACUGUACGAAUAAGGAUCGGCUAACUCCGUGCCAGCAGCCGCGGUAAUACGGAGGAUCCGAGCGUUAUCCGGAUUUAUUGGGUUUAAAGGGUGCGUAGGUGGAUUGAUAAGUCAGCGGUGAAAGUUUGCAGAUUAACUGUAAAAUUGCCGUUGAAACUGUCGGUCUUGAGUGCAAAUGAGGUAGGCGGAAUGUGUUGUGUAGCGGUGAAAUGCUUAGAUAUAACACAGAACUCCGAUUGCGAAGGCAGCUUACUGGGAUGCAACUGACACUGAUGCACGAAAGCGUGGGUAUCAAACAGGAUUAGAUACCCGGGUAGUCC
Molecule: ribosomal RNA, 445 nt
Filed under: uncultured bacterium
Lineage: Bacteria
Description: partial 16S ribosomal RNA
Rfam family: Bacterial small subunit ribosomal RNA
Source: RNAcentral